UGCCGAGUCGUCUAAUGGUAGGACAGCGGCCUUUGAAGCCGUUAAUCAAGGUUCGAUCCCUUGCUCGGCAGCCA
RNAcentral lists this transfer RNA (74 nucleotides) under Candidatus Campbelliibacteriota bacterium. RNAcentral describes it as "Candidatus Campbellbacteria bacterium tRNA-Gln". It matches the Rfam family "tRNA". Rfam says of the family: Transfer RNA (tRNA) molecules are approximately 80 nucleotides in length. The record is from RNAcentral. Lineage: Bacteria; Candidatus Campbelliibacteriota.